Molecule: small nuclear RNA, 186 nt
Organism: Oryctolagus cuniculus (rabbit)
Lineage: Eukaryota; Metazoa; Chordata; Mammalia; Lagomorpha; Leporidae
Gene: U2
Rfam family: U2 spliceosomal RNA
About the family: U2 is a small nuclear RNA (snRNA) component of the spliceosome (involved in pre-mRNA splicing). Complementary binding between U2 snRNA (in an area lying towards the 5' end but 3' to hairpin I) and the branchpoint sequence (BPS) of the intron results the bulging out of an unpaired adenosine, on the BPS, which initiates a nucleophilic attack at the intronic 5' splice site, thus starting the first of two transesterification reactions that mediate splicing.
Source: Ensembl
AUUGCUUCUCGGCCUUUUGGCUAAGAUCAAGUGUAAAGCAAAAAAUAGGUAGGAAGUAAAUAAUUUCAUUGAGUUUAAAAUGUUUAAUUAUGGGGCCAGAGUUGUGGUACAAAGGGUUAGGCCACUGCCUUCUGCACUGGCAUCCCAUAGGGGCACUAGCUUAUGUGCUGGCUGCUCCACUUCUGA